Long non-coding RNA from Thalassophryne amazonica, 2273 nucleotides. RefSeq lists it as uncharacterized. NCBI's taxonomy places the organism in Eukaryota, Metazoa, Chordata, Actinopteri, Batrachoidiformes, Batrachoididae. The record is from RefSeq and is a predicted model, not a curated record. The transcript has 2 exons.
UUUUUAAAUAAGAAAAGAUGGAGAAGGAAAAAAAAAAAAAACUUUGGAUGGAUACAGAUGAACACUGCCUCUACAAUCCUGGUUGUACAAAUGGUGACUAAGAAUUAAAAGAAAGGACUUUCUAUUCCACAAUGGAGUUUUGGUUGUUUACAAACCACAUGGAUAUUUGUGGGCGCAUUUUUUUUUGUUCUUUCUUAUGAUUCCCACAGAAGUUGGGUGGGGUUUGCAAGUGCGCUUCUGCCAUAUGGACAUUGAAAUUUUUUUUUUUUUUUUUUUUUUAAAUGAAGAGUGGCGGGCAACAUAGACAAGAUUCACGGACUGUACUUUUUGUGAAUCCAGAGGACUUAGUGAUCAGCCACAUUGCUGAGGCAGAAACACAGAGGAGCAGCUCUGUUUCGUGGCCAAUGGAAUGCUUGGGUGGGGGGCUAAGCGAAACCCCGAAGGGAACUCUUGAGGGAGCGACUACAGGCCCUCGGAAGCACUCACAACCUGCCCUCUCCAACUCACCUAUGCACUUUUGUUCAUUCAAGCUGUGAGGUACCAUUUCGGGGAUGGGAGCACAAUUACAACAGGAGGAUUGCUGCGACUGUGGCAACGUCACCGAAAAGAUUCCCAAACUGAAAAAAAUAAACUAUAGAGAAGCUCAUCUUCUCGCUCCUCCUGUAUAUAAACAUAUUUUUGUAUUACUUUUCAAAGCAGAAAAAUUUGCAAACAUGAAGGAAAAUAGACAUUGAUGAAACGGAGUGAAUGUUCUUUGAGAAAAUGUUCUAUUUUUUUGAGAUGAACUCUUUGUGACUGCUUGCCAGUAAACCUGGAGUUAUUGGGAUGGAAGGGAAAAAUAAGUGGACUGAGGUGUUGAACUCAAUAAAGGGACUGAUGGAGGGGCAACCAAGUGGACGUUGCCAUGUCAUGAGUGUGUGAUCAACACAUAAAGGCUUUGAAGUGUUGGAAAGGACACUUGGACUCUGGAGCAGCAGAAUGACAGCUGAAGAGGAACAUUGGCUUUGGUGUCUGGCUGUGCUUUAUUUGCUGCCCUCUACCAAGAGGAUCAACAGCCAACCAACGCACCAGAUGACCUUAAUGCCCACUUUUGAACUUCAUCCUGAAGAAACUUCAUUUUGGACUCUGGGUUGGCAGACCCUCGGCAUUAUCAGUCGGACAGUUGUCAGACGACCGUACGGGUUCAUCACCUGUGGACCCAACCUGUGGUGGAAGUGUUCAAUUGGGAUUUUGGUCAGACUUUCUUUUUUUUUUUUCUCAGAGAUAAACCCUUCUGCAGCAUUAAUGUGGCACGAUGUCAGCCAGGAUGUCAUCAUCCGCUUCAGCGUUAACCUGACGGGAGGAAGCUGUGCGAAGGUUGUUGUGCCAGCUGGACAAGAAACCUGCCAAAAGUGUUGGCGGACAUGGCUGAGUUACAACUAAGCCAAUGAAGAAGAAGAAAAAUAAAAAUCCUGAAACUGGAUGAACUCUAACUGACUCAAAUACGCGCACGACAGAUUAACAAGAGUUGCAGACACGCUACGAUGCACACCCACAGCAAUACAAACAUGUUUCCAAUCGGCUUUGCUCUGAACCAACAACGUCUGAAUCAAAUAGGGCAAGAUGCGCUCGAGCAUCAACGCUCAUUAACACAAACUUUGAGUGCAUUGUAGAUAAUGUAAAAGUUUUGCUUUGAUUUCUGUCUGUGAGUUUUGUGUUGUUUCUUUGUUCAAUAUGCCUUAAAUUGUGUUAUUCAGCCACUCCUGGAUGACAAAGUGGAAUUUUUUUUUUUAGUUUUGAAGAAUUGUAAGUUGUAAACCACCUAGUCGAACUCUCCACUUCCUGUUUGCGAAGAACCGUAGCAACAGAAUUGCUGGCAAACAGGCCUUGUGGUGGGGGGAGUUUUUUUUUUUUUUUUUCUUUUUCUUUAUUAAAAUGAGUGGAUUUGUUCAUAUUUCCUGUUUUGAUGAUUGCUGAAGGUGCAGGCUCCAUAAAGGGCUGAAGUCUGUGCUGCAUGGAGCUGAGCUGACUGGGUGGAAUGUGCAUACUUGUUGGCGUUUGGUUAACAUUGACCAUUAUUGGCAUAUAUUGAAGUAAUCACAUAAGCCGGAGUGACAGAUUGAACAAAGAUGGACAUUUUCCUUCAAAUUCCUCUUUGGUAGACUUUGAUGUUUUUAUACUUUUGAGAUAAUGACUUUGGCUUGUAUAUGAACUGUGACCUGGUCGAUUGCACUGAAUACAUUCAACAUCAACCAGUCAGUUGCAUGUUACUUGGAAGAGGAGGGGAAGAAAAA